UACGUAGGUGGCAAGCGUUGUCCGGAAUUAUUGGGCGUAAAGCGCGCGCAGGUGGUUUCUUAAGUCUGAUGUGAAAGCCCACGGCUCAACCGUGGAGGGUCAUUGGAAACUGGGGAACUUGAGUGCAGAAGAGGAAAGUGGAAUUCCAAGUGUAGCGGUGAAAUGCGUAGAGAUUUGGAGGAACACCAGUGGCGAAGGCGACUUUCUGGUCUGUAACUGACACUGAGGCACGAAGGCCAGGGGAGCAAACGGG
RNAcentral lists this ribosomal RNA (253 nucleotides) under uncultured bacterium. Its description in RNAcentral is "partial 16S ribosomal RNA". It matches the Rfam family "Bacterial small subunit ribosomal RNA", at positions 524 to 776 of the family's 1533-position model. The record is from RNAcentral.